This is a non-coding RNA of Dermacentor andersoni, 1113 nucleotides long. Lineage: Eukaryota; Metazoa; Arthropoda; Arachnida; Ixodida; Ixodidae. The record is from RefSeq and is a predicted model, not a curated record.
CCGGCUGCGCAUGUGAAGCUCGCCUGUUCAGCGACCCGUUCCUUUUGUAUGUAGCCUGUAUAUUGGUAUCCCGGCGUAUUCUUGCGUUCCUUCAGCACUUCCGACAGGAAACCACUGCACUAGUGCACUACGGCAAGGUGAUAAAUUUUGUUUGACAGUCUGCGACGCAUUUCAAGCAAUUUUGGCUUUUACGGCACGAGACCGAGACGAUUGUGACGCAAUUGGCGAAAAACAGCUCGGCCGUCCCGUCACACUUAACUUGAGUUAAUGACUCGUACUGGGAGGUGUUUGCGACGCUUUCUAUAGGCCCCAACAUUAUUGUAACUAAUUUCGGUACUUUUCAAGCACAGUGGCCGCGCCCGGCGUUCUGACGCAGUUACCGAAAAGCAGUUCGGCCGUGUGACGCAGUUUCGCGUAUACUGAAUCUUGCUCGGCCGGACAAGUUUGACGUUUUCUAUGACCCCCAACAUUGUUGUAAUCAAUUUCGUUGCGUAUUGUAAUUAAUUUCGUUACUUUUUGGGGUACUUUUCGAGCACGCGACCACACAAGGAGGUGAAAGCGCACAGCAACAAACAUCUCAGAUCCUCAAGACCCUGCUGUCUUGGAAUGAUGCCGUACAGUACAGCUGGUUCGGAGCGAAAGGGGAGAAGUUCGGUGACGUGAAUAUUUGCAAGCUGGCAGCCUGACCAGUGAUAGAUCCUUCAGCGCCACCCUGGAAGACAUAGAAAAGCAGGCAUGUCAUGGUUUCGACACGCUCCCUAUAGUGCGGCAGCAGAUAGAUCAACAGAGGCCGACUCAGCGUGAAGAAACCCAUUUUGUGAUACCGUUAUGUAAAAGGGCUGACAGUCAUCAUUAUAAUACUCAUUCUCUUUUUCUUUUAGUGCAACGUAAAGCUUGCCAAUUCGUUCAUUGUCCAUUUAUACAGUUGUAAUUCAAGAAAGCAUUGAGGAAGACAUAUCUGAAUCGUUCGGUAAUUAUGUACGUAUCCCACCCUUUGUGUGAGCACAGGGAACGCUUAAAAAUUAAGCGUGCUGAUUUUUACGUUCCCACUAGUUGCAUAUUUAAUAAUUAUCUUCACUGCGUUGAACGGAAUAAAAGUUUUUUUUUUCUGUA